UACUGAGAUUAUUUGCAAUAGUGUUUUGGU
Molecule: non-coding RNA, 30 nt
Filed under: Mus musculus (house mouse)
Lineage: Eukaryota; Metazoa; Chordata; Mammalia; Rodentia; Muridae
Source: RNAcentral